Molecule: ribosomal RNA, 476 nt
Filed under: uncultured bacterium
Lineage: Bacteria
Description: bacterial SSU rRNA
Rfam family: Bacterial small subunit ribosomal RNA
Source: RNAcentral
GAGCUGCCACGAACAGUGGUACGAUCCUGACGUAAGCUCGAGAGGAAGCACUGGCUAACUCUGUGCCAGCAGCCGCGGUAAUACAGAGAGUGCAAACGUUGUUCGGAAUCACUGGGCUUAAAGAGCACGUAGGCGGCGCUACAAGUGUCGGGUGAAAUCCCACGGCUCACCCGUGGAACUGCCCGGCAGACUGUGGUGCUCGAGUGUGGUAGGGGAGAGCGGAACUCCAGGUGGAGCGGUGAAAUGCGUAGAUAUCUGGAGGAACACCGGUGGCGAAGGCGGCUCUCUGGUCCACAACUGACGCUGAGGUGCGAAAGCUAGGGGAGCAAACGGGAUUAGAUACCCCGGUAGUCCUAGCUGUAAACGAUGGACACUAGCUUGGGGUCUCCCUGUGUGAUCCCAGGUGAAGCAAAAGUGAUAAGUGUCCCGCCUGGGGAGUAUGGUCGCAAGGCUGAAACUCAAAGGAAUUGACGGGG